CCGAUGGAGGGGGAUAACUACUGGAAACGGUAGCUAAUACCGCAUAACGUCGCAAGACCAAAGAGGGGGACCUUGGGCCUCUUGCCAUCGGAUGUGCCCAGAUGGGAUUAGCUAGUAGGUGGGGUAACGGCUCACCUAGGCGACGAUCCCUAGCUGGUCUGAGAGGAUGACCAGCACACUGGAACUGAGACACGGUCCAG
Molecule: ribosomal RNA, 200 nt
Filed under: uncultured bacterium
Lineage: Bacteria
Description: partial 16S ribosomal RNA
Rfam family: Bacterial small subunit ribosomal RNA
Source: RNAcentral